Molecule: long non-coding RNA, 789 nt
Organism: Gossypium arboreum
Lineage: Eukaryota; Viridiplantae; Streptophyta; Magnoliopsida; Malvales; Malvaceae
Exons: 2
Source: RefSeq, a predicted model, not a curated record
UACAAACUUAAUUUAAAUUGAACUAAAAUAAAAGAGACAAUUUACAAAUAAAAUAAGUCAGUGAGGUUAAAAUUAGGACGCGCGCCACGCAUGCGAAUGCACAGGGACUAGAAAUGGAAAUAAUCCAGGUCCCAAAACGCUGAGUUGUGGUGCGGAUCAAUUUGCAAAUAUGCACAAAUAAUAGAACCGAAUUUGAAAACAAAAUAAAGAAAAUGGAGUGUAAUUAAAUGCCUGUGCGAAGAAGAAGGACCUAGUGCGGAAUUAUCCCUCCCCGCUAAAAACACGCUUGAAGAAGAAGAAUAAGACGUCACCUCCUUUUGCCAAUUAAAACAAAAAGAAAAAAAAACACUUAAAACAAAUCUAAGCAUCGCAGCAAACAAAUGAGGGAAAAGGAAGGGAAAACCCUAGAUAUUUGCCCCUUUUCAAUCUGCCGUUCACUCACCACCAAUCCACCAUUGAAAUCGGUUGAUGGUAGCUCACGAUGAAAUCGUUCUAUUAGCGUCAAUUUCAAAGAAGAAGAUACGGCUUCCGAUGGCUUCUUUGAAGGUGUGUAUGGCAUGGAGAAGUCGUUCGUGGGCGUGGAGCGUGGCGCGCGUGGAAGCCGUUGCUGAUGGUGUUUGCGGCGCAUGGGAACGGCAGCUCGGCCUAGGGUUUGCAAUUUCUAAAAAUAGUUAAUGGGCUAAGUUUUGGGUUAGGUUUUGGGCUGUGUAAUGGGUUAGGAUUGGGUUUUAUUGAUUUGGGCUUAUUUGGACUUGUUAAAUGGAAUGCAAAUUUGGAUUUUAUUUAUUA